GGUGUGCAUUUGCUGGCGUGGGGUCUGAGUCCUUCCUCGCCGGUGCUCAGUGACUCUUAGGAACCCCCUGGCCAGGGUCACUGAUCUGUCUGCUCAAGGAAAGCUGGGAAGGCCACAGGAAAGGUCUAGGAGGGCCUCGCCAGGAGGCUUCACAGGUGCAGUCUGCAGGCCAGCAGCAUCGUCUGGAAACUUAGGGAAGAAACCAGAUCUACUGAAUCAGAAACUCGGGAAGUGGCCCAGGCAAUCUUUUACCAGCACCUCCAGGUGAUUAUAAUGCAAGUCAGAAUACACAAAGGGAUUGAACUUUAUUUUGGCCACUUCCGCUUCAGUGAUGUCCUCAAAAGGAAAGAGCUUCAUGUUCUU
This 363-nucleotide long non-coding RNA is filed under the name Callithrix jacchus (white-tufted-ear marmoset). Its description in RNAcentral is "lncRNA (ENSCJAG00000074929.1)". The record is from RNAcentral. Lineage: Eukaryota; Metazoa; Chordata; Mammalia; Primates; Cebidae.